ACUUUCACUUUCACUUUGCACGUUCAUUUUCACUUUCACUUUCAUAGAAUACCUUUAAAAAAAAGUAUUGUAUUGUUUAUUGCUUCAAAAAGUGAAACCUCCAUAGUAGCCGCUUACUGUUUUGCCGCGCCACCUUACACCACCGCACAAUAUCUGCAGCACCGCAGUUGUCCGCUGAGCCACCAGUGCAAGGAGUCUUGUAGAUUUUUUCCAAAGAGCUUCCUCAGUUUAUUGUUAAGGUUGGCCCAAUCUUAAGUAACAUGUAUGGUAAAGAUUGAGAGAAGAGACUUGAGGUGAAGGAGCUGCUGGACAAUUUUGUGCUUUGAGCCUUUUAAGCAAUAUUUUAAGCAAGUUCCUCCUACAUAUUCUCAACAAAUGACCAACGAGCUUAGGGAAAGGUGGACUUCAUAUGUUACUAGAUACCAUCAACCAAAUGACGACGAUGAUGAUUUAUGUGAAUUUUAGAUCAAUAUGAUAUUGGUACAUCUUAGCAUAAUUUUUUUAAAAUCAACAUUAAUUAGAAAGGUUUUAUGAUUUUUCACUCGUAUUUGUUUGUAUAGAACAAAUUUUGAAUGAAUGAUUCAAUUUAAUUGCGGUUGGAUGUUUUGAAUUAUAUAUGUGAAGUAUAUUUUGAUGGCUUUCGUCGUAUUUGGAAA
Molecule: long non-coding RNA, 656 nt
Organism: Chenopodium quinoa (quinoa)
Lineage: Eukaryota; Viridiplantae; Streptophyta; Magnoliopsida; Caryophyllales; Amaranthaceae
Exons: 4
Source: RefSeq, a predicted model, not a curated record